RNAcentral lists this ribosomal RNA (906 nucleotides) under Triticum aestivum (bread wheat). RNAcentral describes it as "partial small subunit ribosomal RNA". The record is from RNAcentral. Lineage: Eukaryota; Viridiplantae; Streptophyta; Magnoliopsida; Poales; Poaceae.
AUGUGCAUACCAAAAGUUAGGGAAGGCAUGGGAUUUAGGGAUCGCCAUGCUUUUAACUUAGCAAUGUUGGCAAAAAGAUGGAGAUUGAUAACCCAUCCUAAAACUUUAUCUGCCAAAGUUUUACGAGCUAAAUACUUCCCUGACGGUAAUAUUGUUAAGGCGGGGCCAAAGAAGGGGUCAUCUUACACAUGGAAAAGCAUUUUUGCAGGGCUACAAACAUUCCGCAGAGGUCACAUUUGGCAUAUUGGCUCAGGAGUGAAAGUAAAUAUAUGGGAUGAUCACUGGAUUUCGUCUAGUCAGACUAGGAUGAUUAUGACUAGGAGAGGUAAUACCUUGCUCAAGACAGUGGAUGAACUGAUGAUUUCGGGUACUGCAAGCUGGGACGAGGAACUGAUAAGAAGCAUUUUCUUGCCGUUGGAUGCGGAGAGAAUAGUCAAUAUCCCACUGUCAGAAAAUGCUAUAGAGGAUUUUGUUGCUUGGAAUCACACAAAAUAAUUUUCCUUUACGGUCCGAUCAGCAUAGUACGUUGAGUGGGAACACCAAUUUGGGUCGAGAUGUUCGAGUAUUCAGAGCAUGUCUAAUAUGAACCCAAUUUGGGAAACGGUUUGGAAACUGGAAAUGCAUACCAAAGUUAAGAUCUUUGUAUGGAGAGCGCUGCAUGGCUUGAUCCCUGGCAUGGCUGUGCCGGCUCGACGACAUAUCAAAGUUUCACCACUGUGUCCUGUGUGUCGUUUUAUCCUGGAAGACAUCAAACAUCCAAUUUUCAGUUGUCCAAGAUCAGUUUUAGUUUGGCGUGCACUGGGAUUAGAUGCCAUCAUUAAGCAAGCUCUUAUCGUGGAUCGUUCUGGCUCAGUAUUACUUGAAGAAUUGUUGCGCCUACCGCGAGGGAGCUCACCGGUGCUUUAG